This 249-nucleotide ribosomal RNA is filed under the name uncultured bacterium. RNAcentral's name for it is "partial 16S ribosomal RNA". It matches the Rfam family "Bacterial small subunit ribosomal RNA", at positions 355 to 594 of the family's 1533-position model. The record is from RNAcentral.
UGGGGAAUAUUGCACAAUGGGCGCAAGCCUGAUGCAGCAACGCCGCGUGAGUGAAGAAGGCUCUUGGGUCGUAAAGCUCUUUCGACUGGGAAGAAGGGUUUUUAGGUAAAUAAUCUAAGAAUUUGACGGUACCAGAAUAAGAAGCACCGGCUAACUCCGUGCCAGCAGCCGCGGUAAUACGGGGGGGUGCAAGCGUUGUUCGGAAUUACUGGGCGUAAAGCGCACGUAGGCGGGUUUGUAAGUCGAUUG